UUAAAUUGAAGAGUUUGAUCAUGGCUCAGAUUGAACGCUGGCGGCAGGCCUAACACAUGCAAGUCGAACGGUAACAGGAAGCAGCUUGCUGCUUCGCUGACGAGUGGCGGACGGGUGAGUAAUGUCUGGGAAACUGCCUGAUGGAGGGGGAUAACUACUGGAAACGGUAGCUAAUACCGCAUAACGUCGCAAGACCAAAGAGGGGGACCUUCGGGCCUCUUGCCAUCGGAUGUGCCCAGAUGGGAUUAGCUUGUUGGUGGGGUAACGGCUCACCAAGGCGACGAUCCCUAGCUGGUCUGAGAGGAUGACCAGCCACACUGGAACUGAGACACGGUCCAGACUCCUACGGGAGGCAGCAGUGGGGAAUAUUGCACAAUGGGCGCAAGCCUGAUGCAGCCAUGCCGCGUGUAUGAAGAAGGCCUUCGGGUUGUAAAGUACUUUCAGCGGGGAGGAAGGGAGUAAAGUUAAUACCUUUGCUCAUUGACGUUACCCGCAGAAGAAGCACCGGCUAACUCCGUGCCAGCAGCCGCGGUAAUACGGAGGGUGCAAGCGUUAAUCGGAAUUACUGGGCGUAAAGCGCACGCAGGCGGUUUGUUAAGUCAGAUGUGAAAUCCCCGGGCUCAACCUGGGAACUGCAUCUGAUACUGGCAAGCUUGAGUCUCGUAGAGGGGGGUAGAAUUCCAGGUGUAGCGGUGAAAUGCGUAGAGAUCUGGAGGAAUACCGGUGGCGAAGGCGGCCCCCUGGACGAAGACUGACGCUCAGGUGCGAAAGCGUGGGGAGCAAACAGGAUUAGAUACCCUGGUAGUCCACGCCGUAAACGAUGUCGACUUGGAGGUUGUGCCCUUGAGGCGUGGCUUCCGGAGCUAACGCGUUAAGUCGACCGCCUGGGGAGUACGGCCGCAAGGUUAAAACUCAAAUGAAUUGACGGGGGCCCGCACAAGCGGUGGAGCAUGUGGUUUAAUUCGAUGCAACGCGAAGAACCUUACCUGGUCUUGACAUCCACAGAACCUUGUAGAGAUACGAGGGUGCCUUCGGGAACUGUGAGACAGGUGCUGCAUGGCUGUCGUCAGCUCGUGUUGUGAAAUGUUGGGUUAAGUCCCGCAACGAGCGCAACCCUUAUCCUUUGUUGCCAGCGGUCCGGCCGGGAACUCAAAGGAGACUGCCAGUGAUAAACUGGAGGAAGGUGGGGAUGACGUCAAGUCAUCAUGGCCCUUACGACCAGGGCUACACACGUGCUACAAUGGCGCAUACAAAGAGAAGCGACCUCGCGAGAGCAAGCGGACCUCAUAAAGUGCGUCGUAGUCCGGAUUGGAGUCUGCAACUCGACUCCAUGAAGUCGGAAUCGCUAGUAAUCGUGGAUCAGAAUGCCACGGUGAAUACGUUCCCGGGCCUUGUACACACCGCCCGUCACACCAUGGGAGUGGGUUGCAAAAGAAGUAGGUAGCUUAACCUUCGGGAGGGCGCUUACCACUUUGUGAUUCAUGACUGGGGUGAAGUCGUAACAAGGUAACCGUAGGGGAACCUGCGGUUGGAUCACCUCCUUACCUUAAAGAAGC
RNAcentral lists this ribosomal RNA (1556 nucleotides) under Escherichia coli. Its description in RNAcentral is "bacterial SSU rRNA". It matches the Rfam family "Bacterial small subunit ribosomal RNA". Lineage: Bacteria; Pseudomonadati; Pseudomonadota; Gammaproteobacteria; Enterobacterales; Enterobacteriaceae. The record is from RNAcentral.